CACCGUGCUCCUCCUCCCCUAGUUAUCACAUGUGCUCCUCCUCCCCUAGUUAUCACACCAUGCUCCUCCUCCCCUAGUUAUCACACCGUGCUCCUCCUCCCCUAGUUAUCACAUGGUGCUCAUCCUCCCCUAGUUAUCACAUGUGCUCCUCCUCCCCUAGUUAUCACACCGUGCUCCUCCUCCCCUAGUUAUCACAUGUGCUCCUCCUCCCCUAGUUAUCACAUGUGCUCCUCCUCCCCUAGUUACCACAUGUGCUCCUCGUCCCCUAGUUAUCACACUGUGCUCCUCCUCCCCUAGUUAUCACACCGUGCUCCUCCUCCCCUAGUUAUCACACUGUGCUCCUCCUCCCCUAGUUAUCACAUGUGCUCCUCCUCCCCUAGUUAUCACACCGUGCUCCUCCUCCCCUAGUUGCCACGCUGAAAGCUGGUGUUGGCCAGCAGAGGCCCUCGCAUGGGAGCAUGUGGAGGUGGCUGUUCUC
This 478-nucleotide long non-coding RNA is filed under the name Pan troglodytes (chimpanzee). RNAcentral describes it as "long non-coding RNA NONPTRT015411". The record is from RNAcentral. Lineage: Eukaryota; Metazoa; Chordata; Mammalia; Primates; Hominidae.